This 221-nucleotide ribosomal RNA is filed under the name uncultured fungus. RNAcentral's name for it is "partial small subunit ribosomal RNA". The stretch from base 101 to 221 matches the Rfam family "Eukaryotic small subunit ribosomal RNA", at positions 747 to 864 of the family's 1831-position model. Lineage: Eukaryota; Fungi. The record is from RNAcentral.
GAAUGCGGUGGUCAAAGUCUGUCUAAACGGCAUGACUGGACGCCCGCUUCCUAUCUUUGGGUAAUAGCUCUCAUCUUUCGGGGUGAGAUGUCUGUUCCCAAUCAUUUACUUUGAAAAAAUUAGAGUGUUCAAAGCAGGCGUAACCUUGCCAUUGAAUAGUACAGCAUGGGAUAAUAGAAUAUGACAUUAGUUAAAAUUUGUUGGUUUCUUUGGCUAAUGUA